Molecule: ribosomal RNA, 465 nt
Filed under: Vreelandella stevensii
Lineage: Bacteria; Pseudomonadati; Pseudomonadota; Gammaproteobacteria; Oceanospirillales; Halomonadaceae
Description: partial 16S ribosomal RNA
Rfam family: Bacterial small subunit ribosomal RNA
Source: RNAcentral
CCUACGGGGGGCAGCAGUGGGGAAUAUUGGACAAUGGGGGCAACCCUGAUCCAGCCAUGCCGCGUGUGUGAAGAAGGCCCUCGGGUUGUAAAGCACUUUCAGUGAGGAAGAACGCCUGGUGGUUAAUACCCAUCAGGAAAGACAUCACUCACAGAAGAAGCACCGGCUAACUCCGUGCCAGCAGCCGCGGUAAUACGGAGGGUGCGAGCGUUAAUCGGAAUUACUGGGCGUAAAGCGCGCGUAGGUGGCUUGAUAAGCCGGUUGUGAAAGCCCCGGGCUCAACCUGGGAACGGCAUCCGGAACUUUCAAGCUAGAGUGGAGGAGAGGAAGGUAGAGUUCCCGGUGUAGCGGUUAAAUGAGUAGAGAUCGGGAGGAAUACCAGUGGCGAAGGCGGCCUUAUGGACUGACACUGACACUGAGGUGCGAAAGCGUGGGUAGCAAACAGGAUUAGAUACACUAGUAGUC